AGGCCAGCCACUCAGGAUGGGGCCCUGUGCCCUGCUCACAUGGGCUGUGCUGGUCUUCAAACCGGCCUGAGGGUCAGCAGAACAUUCGCAGGUGGAGAUGGAAGGAGAAACAGCAUCCGCUCAGCACAAACCAUAAACAGCCGGUGCUCGGGUGUGGAGCUGGAGCCAUGCGUCUCUGUGGGGAGGAACAGGGGUUUGAGGGGAACAUGGGGACUGGGGCUCAAGGCACCUGGAUUUAAUCUUAGAGACGAAGGGGUGGGGAGGGAGUGCCCACGUGGGAUCUGUGCCCACGCGCACCGCCCUGUCUCUGUGCACGUGGACAGGGCCUGCACUGAGAGGAGACUCGCUGGCAGAGACUGGGCAGAUGUGAGCCCUCCCUGCGAUAGUCAGCCCUGCUCCUGAUGGCCAUGGAAGGAACAUUUUUCUCCACCCCACUAAGGUGGGCUUUGACCACGUGGACGCUGGUGGAUGUCUGCAGGCCCUGCAAUGUGUUCCAGGGAAUUGGCUUCAGGAAGAACAUGCCUGGAGCUCAGCAGAGUGAGGGGCACACAGAGCAGACCUGACUUGAGCCUCAGCCUGGACCCCCACCUGACACUCAGAGCCCUGGGGAGAGAGGCCGUGGAACCGCCCGGCAGCAUCACUGCCUCAGCACCUGCCAAGACGGAAAUGGGCACGUUCAGGUCAGAUAGGAGGCUGGGGCACACUCCUCCCUCGCCCCCGACCACCCACCCUCCAAGCCUUAGUUUAGGUGUUCCCUCCUCAGAUCAGCAUUCUCUGCCCUGAGCCACGGUGGCGCCUCACUCCAGGGCCUGCGUGCCUCCUGCCUGUCUGAGUCCAACCUCAGCUUCCCAGCCAGCAGCUCGGGAACCCACAAGGUCGUGCAGCUGCCGAGCCGAAAAACGAAAGAGCAACUCUCGCGUGCAGGUCGGCUGGGUGGGUGUACGGCUGCACGGCGAGGCAUCUGGAGUGAGGGAGGCUUGCUUCUCCUGCGGGGCCCUUGCUUUGUGUGUCUGGACAGGCGCCGUCCUCGUGGCUGCCUGGGACUGGGGCCUCUCUCCAUCAUCACAGUCCAGGAAGAGGGGUGGCCAGUCCUAGAGCUUGAGCUGAGCUGCCCUUGGGGCUGUGGAGAUGAGGAACUGAUGUUGAUGGUGCAGUCGGGAAGGGAGAUGUGACGGAUGACAAGGAGACCCCGAUUUAGCAGGAAGUGUGGAAUUCUGUGAUCCCGUGCUGCUGGUCCCUGCAGAGGUUUUGGCAGUCCCCAGACACUGCUGUCUUGAGAGGAAGAGGAGUCCAGGCAGCCGCAGCAGAACGCUGACCCCUCACUGGUCUGCUGACUCCUCACUGGUCUGCUGACCACACAGCACGGCCUUGGUCUCCAGGCUGGCCCCCUGGAGUCCUCAACCAGCCCCAGAGGGAAAGGAGGUUUGCCGGAGGGACCUUGUAGCCACACGUGUGGCCCCAGGAUGGCAAGGACAAGGCCGCUGGCGAGGUGGUGCUUGUUCCAUAAGGAGUGGUUACAGUCACUCAGCAAAUCCACCCCACGCCUGCCACGGGCUUCCCCCUCCCCUGGGCACCGCCGGCCACCCUAAGCUCAGAGACGUGGUGGAACCCCUCCCGUGUGGCGUGGUGCCGAGACUGAGGGAUGUGCAAGCUGUGAGGAGCAUGUGGCCACAGCCAGGUCUGAAAGACAGCACUCCAAACCAAGCAGAUCGUGUGAAACUGCUGGCCGAUGUGAUACAGAGACCAGGGUACAACUUGCUCUGUUUUCAAGAGGAGAGACUUUGGAGAACUGUUAUAAAAAAUGGUUGCUGUGUCUGCAGGAUCACACGGGAACUCCGCUGUAAAUAUUUCUGUGCCAAGGCAGCACAGUGUUGCAUGGGGGCCUGAGGGCCUGUGGGUUUGAUUCAUCCUUUCUAGGAUGUCUGCAACAUUUCUUGGAUGUGAAAGUUUGUUCUGAGCACGACAGUUGGAAAAUCACCGUCUGUGUCCUCUGAGCUAGGACUCACCUGCUGCAGGGAAGGAGCUUUGCUUAGCAGACCACGUCACACUCCCAGGAUGAUGAAGAGGGGAUCUCCUGCAGCGUCCUGGGGACAAACCCUGCUGGCAUCUGGCCAUGGGGGAAAGACAGCAUCCAGAGUGAAGGGGAUGGCAAUAGUCACCACAGUGGCUGGAGAUGAGCCCACACGGUCGUCUUCCCCAGCGGAGACGUUCCCUCCCGUAGGAGGGUGGGUCAGAGGAUACAGAAGGCGCCGGCAGUGACCAGGAGCAAUGUCCAGCCUCCUCUCCCCCAGCUCCUGGAAGCAGAUUCCGUCCGUGCACAGGAAGCUUUCCCGGUAAUUGGCUAACGCGCCACAUGACUGCUGUCCGCCAGGCUCUAGGAGGUGAGAAUUCCUCCUCAAAUUAACCUCACACCCAGAAACCCAUCAUCGCCACUUACCAGGAUGGGAAAGCACAGUGUCCUCUAAAGAAACUUAUAUUCAAGCUGAUGAUUAUACUCAGACAGCUAAUUAAGAACUAAUUAUUCAAAUGACGGAUCAAAGAACCGUGCAUGCACCCAGCUUUCCCCGGAGACUCGGGUCCCCUGGCACUUGCAUCUUGAGUUGGGGAAGAAUCCUCAGCCACAUAAGUGAGGACAUAUGUUUGCCAAGAAACCUCAUGUCUCCAUUCAUAGCGGUGUCUACUCAGAGGACACAGGAAAACACACACACACACACACACACACACACACACACACACACACCCGGGAGUCCUUGCAAAUGGUCCCAGGCUUCAUGAGAAGUCCGUGCUGGUGACAGUUGGAACGUGUUACUCUGGGGAUAGCCUAAUCACUACGAAAUUAAUUUUCUGAGCUCCUGAGAAACUUGCCUUCCUAAAAACCGAGAUGGAUGCAAAUGAACAAGGACUGAGCAGUCCGGAGCAGGUCCAUGGGGGUGGCAGCAGCACCCCUAACUCUGGCCGGGUGAGGGGCCCCGUCCAGGCAGCCUCAGUCCAGGCUCUAAGCAAACGCCGUGGCCCACAGGUGCUGCUUUUGGGAUGGCGUCGGGACACUCCUGCGGGGUAGCAGAGAGCUCGGCCCACCGACUAGCCGCUCUGCCCGCUGACCUGAGUGCUUCUCCGACCUCCGCAGUGGGCGUUCACCUCUAGACCUUCCUUCAUGUAAAUGUUUGGUUCCCAUAGCUGAGUCAAAUGCCCUUGAAAAUGCUUCCAUCAGGAAACAUUCAGACACCUAAAUAUAUACUUUGUAUCAAGUUUAAUGAA
This 3258-nucleotide long non-coding RNA is filed under the name Pan troglodytes (chimpanzee). RNAcentral's name for it is "lincRNA". Lineage: Eukaryota; Metazoa; Chordata; Mammalia; Primates; Hominidae. The record is from RNAcentral.